This 1077-nucleotide long non-coding RNA is filed under the name Apteryx owenii (little spotted kiwi). RNAcentral describes it as "lncRNA (ENSAOWG00000010462.1)". The record is from RNAcentral. Lineage: Eukaryota; Metazoa; Chordata; Aves; Apterygiformes; Apterygidae.
AAUCAUUUGAAGAAAUAAUGUGUGAAAAAAAUAUAUUACCUCCGGCAGUGAUGUUAUAAUGGCUCUUGUGCUGACAGCCCUUUGGGAACAGUGGCAGCAGUGGGGUCGGACCUUUUUGAGAGACUGUGUGAACAGCCCUCCCUGCGGGAACCGGUGCAGGAAGGUGGGAGGCCCAAGCUUAAGCCCUUGGUCUGCCUUGAGCCACAGAGAUCCUGGUCAAAGGCAACAAGGAAAUCCCCUGAUCUGAAUCAGGCAAAGCAGGGGCUUGAACUCUGAGUUCUCCAAAGCUCAGGAAAGUACAUAAAUAGGAAAGCCUCCGUGAAACGUGCCCGAGUUUUUCUGCAGCAAGAGAACAGUUAAGUGCAGAAUUCCAGCCAGGCAAAUGAAAACUCCCCCGUGGCAUGCUGCAGAGUGUCCUCCAGCUAAUUUUGCCAUGCUAAGGAAAGGACAAAUACAGCUUUCCACAUGAAUACGCUCUGGUCUCAUAACUGGCAUGAUACAGAUACAUGUUCAGGAGCAACUUUGCUGCAGUCAAUGGAGCGAGUGGCUGACUGUCCCUGUCCGGUGGAGGUGCCCUCAGACUGCUGGUGUGAGGCUGUUCAGCAUCCAAGCAUCCAAAGAAAAAGCAUGGAAACAGUCCCCUGAUUUCUUGGACAAAUUUGAAGGGCAAAAUCUGCCAACUGCUUGGUAUAUUGAUUCAAAUGCAUUAUUCCUCCCCCCGGCAGAUCCCUGCCCUGGGAAAGGAGCAAUCAGUGCAGGUGCAAAUAGCUUUUAAUUGCAAAAUGUAUCUCACCAUGGAGGCAUUUAGGCUGGAUAUGAUACAACUGAUACAGCAGCAGCCUGAAGAAGACCAAUAAGCCAGAGCACUGCAGGGGCAAAACUACUCCUAUACAAUACAUAUGGCGUAGAUAUUCAUGUAUGGCUGUAUGUCUGUGUUCUUCCACGUAUCCCUAAGGUAGGACACAGUAUGAUUAUGUGGAGAUUCAAAUAUCAUCUGCAGGGAACGUGCAACAUUUCUCUUUCUGUAACACAGUUCAUAUGUGAGAACGCAGCAUUUAGUUUGGAUGUGAAUGUUAU